This 170-nucleotide ribosomal RNA is filed under the name Pseudomonas putida. RNAcentral's name for it is "partial 16S ribosomal RNA". It matches the Rfam family "Bacterial small subunit ribosomal RNA", at positions 338 to 502 of the family's 1533-position model. Lineage: Bacteria; Pseudomonadati; Pseudomonadota; Gammaproteobacteria; Pseudomonadales; Pseudomonadaceae. The record is from RNAcentral.
CCUACGGGAGGCAGCAGUGGGGAAUAUUGGACAAUGGGCGAAAGCCUGAUCCAGCCAUGCCGCGUGUGUGAAGAAGGUCUUCGGAUUGUAAAGCACUUUAAGUUGGGAGGAAGGGCAGUAAGCUAAUACCUUGCUGUUUGACGUACCGACAGAAUAGCCCCGACCCGACC